GACGAACGCUGGCGGCGUGCUUAACACAUGCAAGUCGAACGGAAAGGCCCUGCUUUUGUGGGGUGCUCGAGUGGCGAACGGGUGAGUAACACGUGAGUAACCUGCCCUUGACUUUGGGAUAACUUCGGGAAACUGGGGCUAAUACCGGAUAGGAGCUCCUGCUGCAUGGUGGGGGUUGGAAAGUUUCGGCGGUUGGGGAUGGACUCGCGGCUUAUCAGCUUGUUGGUGGGGUAGUGGCUUACCAAGGCUUUGACGGGUAGCCGGCCUGAGGGGGUGACCGGCCAAAUGGGGAAGGGGAACCGGCCCAGACCCCUAGGGGGGGCAGGGGUGGGGAAUAUUGCACAAGGGGGGGAAGCCUGAUGCAGAAACGCCGGGGGGGGGAGGGGGGCCUUGGGGUGGAAAACCGCUUUCCCCGGGGACGAAGGGGGGGGGAGGGAAAGGGGGAAAGAAGCACGGGCAAACUACGG
Molecule: ribosomal RNA, 467 nt
Filed under: uncultured bacterium
Lineage: Bacteria
Description: partial 16S ribosomal RNA
Rfam family: Bacterial small subunit ribosomal RNA
Source: RNAcentral